RNAcentral lists this ribosomal RNA (253 nucleotides) under uncultured bacterium. Its description in RNAcentral is "partial 16S ribosomal RNA". It matches the Rfam family "Bacterial small subunit ribosomal RNA", at positions 524 to 776 of the family's 1533-position model. The record is from RNAcentral.
UGCAGAGGAGCCAAGCGUUGUCCGGAUUGACUGGGCGUAAAGCGCACGCAGGCGGAUGCGCGCGUGGGGUGUGAAAUCUGGCCGCUUAACGGCCAGGCGCCAUCCCAUACGGCGCGUCUGGAGUGAUGCAGAGGUCGAUGGAAUUGCCGGUGUAGUGGUGAAAUGCGUAGAGAUCGGCAGGAACACCCAGGGGGAAACCAGUCGACUGGGCAUCUACUGACGCUGAGGUGCGAGAGCGUGGGGAGCAAACAGG